AUUGAACGCUGGCGGCAUGCCUUACACAUGCAAGUCGAACGGUAACGGGCCUUCGGGUGCCGACGAGUGGCGAACGGGUGAGUAAUACAUCGGAACGUGCCCGAUCGUGGGGGAUAACGAGGCGAAAGCUUUGCUAAUACCGCAUACGAUCUACGGAUGAAAGCAGGGGACCGCAAGGCCUUGCGCGGACGGAGCGGCCGAUGGCGGAUUAGGUAGUUGGUGGGAUAAAAGCUUACCAAGCCGACGAUCUGUAGCUGGUCUGAGAGGAUGAUCAGCCACACUGGGGCUGAGACACGGCCCAGACUCCUACGGGAGGCAGCAGUGGGGAAUUUUGGGCAAUGGGCGGAAGCCUGAUCCAGCCAUGCCGCGUGCAAGGUGAAGGCCUUCGGGUUGUAAACUGCUUUUGUACGGAACGAAAAGCCUUCUUUUAAUACAGGAGGGUCAUGACGGUACCGGAAGAAUAAGCACCGGCUAACUACGUG
Molecule: ribosomal RNA, 482 nt
Filed under: uncultured bacterium
Lineage: Bacteria
Description: partial 16S ribosomal RNA
Rfam family: Bacterial small subunit ribosomal RNA
Source: RNAcentral